AAAUACCCUUUCUUCCCUUUCUAUUUCUCUCCUAGUAAUAUCCCCUGACCGAAUCACACAAUCCAACCAACUCUCUUUAAGCCUCCCUCACUGAUUCCAUGGAUUUCAUGGACUUAUCCCACCCUCUCUCCUUCCCUCUAUAUAUAGCAAGUCCCCUUGCCUCAGUGUCCCUGGCAACAGAAUUUAUGGCAUUUCUUCGUUCUUUCAAUUAUUUGAAAGCUUCCUAGCCCUGCAAUCUUGUACAAAGGCGUAUGGUGUUUCAUCAGUUCCAUUUGGUGGUUGGGUGGGAAAUGAAAUUAAAACACUGCAUUUCAAAUGCAUUUCAAAUGGUCUAAACCAAAUUGAAUCAAAUGUGAAGCAAAGGGCAAGAGGUGUAGAUUGAAGAACAAUGGCACCAAGAGCGAAAUUGAACUUGUUGACAGGAGGAAACCAAGCAAAACAAAGACGUUUGCAAGGGAGCAACCCUGGGUUCAUUUGUUCUGUAACUGCUGGUCAUUGCGGCAUAUCACGCCUAUAGCACUGACAAAAGUAAAAAGAGAAUCGAAUGAAAUUUGAUAAGUUUUCAGCGGACUACAAAGAUCUUAAGCCAAGCAUAUAUUCCCAUGCAGAUAUUAAGAGGUUUACAAAUCAAUUCAAGUACAAGUUGGGCCAAGGAGCAUACGGAACUGUUUUUAAACGAAAGUUUUUUUCUGAAUGCUUUGUUGCCAUGAAAGUACUUAACAUUUCCAAGGGUGACGGGGAAGAGCUUGUAAAUGAAGUGGGAACAAUGGGCCAUAUUCACCAUGUCAAUGUGGUUCACUUGGUUGGUUUUUGUGCUGAUGGAUUUAGAUGAGCUCUGGUUUAUGAGUUCUUUCCCUUUGGUUCACUCCAGGAUUAUAUUUCAUCAGCAGAUAGAUUUCUUUCCUUGGUUGGCAUAA
This is a long non-coding RNA of Malus domestica (apple), 917 nucleotides long. RefSeq lists it as uncharacterized. NCBI's taxonomy places the organism in Eukaryota, Viridiplantae, Streptophyta, Magnoliopsida, Rosales, Rosaceae. The record is from RefSeq and is a predicted model, not a curated record.